UUCAAGCAGGCAGAUCCAAUUUUCUGCCACCGCAAUACAUUAGCAUGGGAUAAUGGAAUAGGACCCUGUCCUCCUAUUUUCAGUUGGUUUUGGCAGCGCGUAGGACUAGGGUAAUGAUUAAUAGUGGAUAGUUGGGGGCAUUAAUAUUUAAUUGUCAGAGUGUGAAAUUCUUGGAUUUAUGAAAGAUUAACUUCUGCGAAAGCAUCUGCCAAGGAUGUUUUCAUUAAUCAAGAACGAAAGUUAGGGGAUCGAAGACGAUCAGAUACCGGCGUAGUCUUAACCAUAAACGAUGCCGACCAGCGAUUAGGAGACGUUGAAUACAAAACACCACCAUCGGCGCGGUCGUCCUUGGCGUCUCUGUCCCUUUCAACGGGGGCAUAGGCGCGAGGGCGGGUUAGCCCGGUGGCACCGGUGAAUGAUC
RNAcentral lists this ribosomal RNA (421 nucleotides) under Acanthamoeba castellanii. RNAcentral's name for it is "SSU rRNA". It matches the Rfam family "Eukaryotic small subunit ribosomal RNA", at positions 775 to 1101 of the family's 1831-position model. Lineage: Eukaryota; Discosea; Longamoebia; Acanthamoebidae. The record is from RNAcentral.